This 253-nucleotide ribosomal RNA is filed under the name uncultured bacterium. RNAcentral's name for it is "partial 16S ribosomal RNA". It matches the Rfam family "Bacterial small subunit ribosomal RNA", at positions 524 to 776 of the family's 1533-position model. The record is from RNAcentral.
GACAGAGGUGCCAAGCGUUAGGCGGAAUCACUGGGCUUAAAGCGUGUGUAGGUGGAUCGUUAAGUACCUUGUGAAAUCCCACGGCUUAACCGUGGAACUGCUCGGUAUACUGGCGGCCUGGAGGGGGGUAGGGGCAAGCGGAACUGUGGGUGGAGCGGUGAAAUGCGUUGAGAUCCACAGGAACUCCGGUGGCGAAGGCGGCUUGCUGGACCCUUUCUGACGCUGAGGCGCGAAAGCCAGGGGAGCGAACGGG